This 385-nucleotide unclassified non-coding RNA is filed under the name soil metagenome. RNAcentral's name for it is "partial contains 5.8S ribosomal RNA, internal transcribed spacer 2, and large subunit ribosomal RNA". The stretch from base 1 to 120 matches the Rfam family "5.8S ribosomal RNA", at positions 35 to 154 of the family's 154-position model. The record is from RNAcentral.
GAUGAAGAACGCAGCGAAAUGCGAUAAGUAAUGUGAAUUGCAGAAUUCAGUGAAUCAUCGAAUCUUUGAACGCACCUUGCACCCUUUGGCAUUCCGAAGGGUAUGCUCGUUUGAGUGUCAUUGUACUCUCACACUCCCAAUUGCUUUGGAUUGGGAGCGGUGGACUUGGGUGUUGCUGCUUGACUGAGGCUCACCUGAAAUAUGUUAGUGCACCUCUUGAUUGGACAUAGUACGGCGUGAUAAGUGUCUUCGCCGGCUCCUCGCAAAGAGGGUGGCCGAUCGGGAGCUCUGUUGCUUCAAACUGUCUUCGGACAAUCUUCUAGCGACUUGACCUCAAAUCGAGUAGGACUACCCGCUGAACUUAAGCAUAUCAAUAAGCGGAGGA